GAUGAACGCUGGCGGCGUGCCCAAUACAUGCAAGUCGAGCGAAUGGAUUAAGAGCUUGCUCUUAUGAAGUUAGCGGCGGACGGGUGAGUAACACGUGAGUAACCUGCCCAUAAGACUGGGAUAACUCCGGGAAACCGGGGCUAAUACCGGAUAACAUUUUGAACCGCAUGGUUCGAAAUUGAAAGGCGGCUUCGGCUGUCACUUAUGGAUGGACCCGCGUCGCAUUAGCUAGUUGGUGAGGUAACGGCUCACCAAGGCAACGAUGCGUAGCCGACCUGAGAGGGUGAUCGGCCACACUGGGACUGAGACACGGCCCAGACUCCUACGGGAGGCAGCAGUAGGGAAUCUUCCGCAAUGGACGAAAGUCUGACGGAGCAACGCCGCGUGAGUGAUGAAGGCUUUCGGGUCGUAAAACUCUGUUGUUAGGGAAGAACAAGUGCUAGUUGAGUAAGCUGGCACCUUGACGGUACCUAACCAGAUAGCCACGGCUAACUACGUGCCAGCCGCCGCAGUAA
RNAcentral lists this ribosomal RNA (515 nucleotides) under uncultured bacterium. RNAcentral describes it as "partial 16S ribosomal RNA". It matches the Rfam family "Bacterial small subunit ribosomal RNA", at positions 28 to 523 of the family's 1533-position model. The record is from RNAcentral.